Molecule: ribosomal RNA, 422 nt
Filed under: uncultured bacterium
Lineage: Bacteria
Description: bacterial SSU rRNA
Rfam family: Bacterial small subunit ribosomal RNA
Source: RNAcentral
UAUUGGACAAUGGGCGAAAGCCUGAUCCAGCCAUGCCGCGUGUGUGAAGAAGGUCUUCGGAUUGUAAAGCACUUUAAGUUGGGAGGAAGGGCAGUAAGCGAAUACCUUGCUGUUUUGACGUUACCGCCAGAAUAAGCACCGGCUAACUCUGUGCCAGCAGCCGCGGUAAUACAGAGGGUGCAAGCGUUAAUCGGAAUUACUGGGCGUAAAGCGCGCGUAGGUGGUUUGUUAAGUUGGAUGUGAAAGCCCCGGGCUCAACCUGGGAACUGCAUCCAAAACUGGCAAGCUAGAGUAGGGCAGAGGGUGGUGGAAUUUCCUGUGUAGCGGUGAAAUGCGUAGAUAUAGGAAGGAACACCAGUGGCGAAGGCGACCACCUGGGCUCAUACUGACACUGAGGUGCGAAAGCGUGGGGAGCAAACAGG